GGGCGCUUAGCUCAGUUGGUCCAGAGCGCUACCUUCACACGGUAGAGGUCGCAGGUUCGAAUCCUGCAGCGCCCACAA
This 78-nucleotide transfer RNA is filed under the name Candidatus Kryptonium thompsonii. RNAcentral's name for it is "Candidatus Kryptonium thompsoni (sediment metagenome) tRNA-Val". It matches the Rfam family "tRNA". From Rfam's summary of the family: Transfer RNA (tRNA) molecules are approximately 80 nucleotides in length. Their secondary structure includes four short double-helical elements and three loops (D, anti-codon, and T loops). Further hydrogen bonds mediate the characteristic L-shaped molecular structure. tRNAs have two regions of fundamental functional importance: the anti-codon, which is responsible for specific mRNA codon recognition, and the 3' end, to which the tRNAs corresponding amino acid is attached (by aminoacyl-tRNA synthetases). tRNAs cope with the degeneracy of the genetic code in two manners: having more than one tRNA (with a specific anti-codon) for a particular amino acid; and 'wobble' base-pairing, i.e. permitting non-standard base-pairing at the 3rd anti-codon position. The record is from RNAcentral. Lineage: Bacteria; Pseudomonadati; Candidatus Kryptoniota. RNAcentral also lists the same sequence under 1 other name.